RNAcentral lists this ribosomal RNA (502 nucleotides) under uncultured bacterium. RNAcentral's name for it is "partial 16S ribosomal RNA". It matches the Rfam family "Bacterial small subunit ribosomal RNA", at positions 28 to 523 of the family's 1533-position model. The record is from RNAcentral.
GAUGAACGCUAGCGGCAGGCUUAAUACAUGCAAGUCGAGGGGCAGCGCGGGUAGCAAUACCUGGCGGCGACCGGCAAACGGGUGCGGAACACGUACGCAACCUUCCCAUAACUGGUGAAUAGCCCUCCGAAAGGAGGAUUAAUACACCGUAACAUAACGAAGAGGCAUCUUUUUGUUAUUAUAGUAGCAAUACGGUUUUGGAUGGGCGUGCGCCGGAUUAGGUAGUUGGCGGGGUAACGGCCCACCAAGCCUGCGAUCAGUAACUGGUGUGGGAGCACGAGCAGGCACACGGGCACUGAGACACGGGCCCGACUCCUACGGGAGGCAGCAGGAAGGAAUAUUGGUCAAUGGACGAAAGUCUGAACCAGCCAUGCCGCGUGAAGGAUUAAGGCCCUCUGUGUUGUAAACUUCUUUUAUCUGGGACGAAAAAAGGGCAUUCUUGCUCACUUGACGGUACCAGAGGAAUAAGCACCGGCUAACUCCGUGCCAGCAGCCGCCGUAA